RNAcentral lists this ribosomal RNA (460 nucleotides) under uncultured bacterium. Its description in RNAcentral is "partial 16S ribosomal RNA". It matches the Rfam family "Bacterial small subunit ribosomal RNA", at positions 338 to 795 of the family's 1533-position model. The record is from RNAcentral.
CCUACGGGAGGCAGCAGUGAGGAAUAUUGGUCAAUGGGCGUAAUCCUGAACCAGCCAAGUCGCGUGCGGGAUGAAGGUUCUAUGGAUCGUAAACCUCUUUUAUCAGGGAAUAAAGUGUGGGACGUGUCCUAUUUUGUAUGUACCUUAUGAAUAAGGAUCGGCUAACUCCGUGCCAGCAGCCGCGGUAAUACGGAGGAUCCGAGCGUUAUCCGGAUUUAGUGGGUUUAAAGGGUGCGUAGGCGGCCCUUUAAGUCAGCGGUGAAAGUCUGUGGCUCAACCAUAGAAUUGACGUUGAAACUGGGGGGCUUGAGGAUGUUUGAGGCAGGCGGAAUGCGUGGUGUAGCGGUGAAAUGCUUAGAUAUCACGCAGAACCCCGAUUGCGAAGGCAGCCUGCCAAGCCAUGACUGACGCUGAUGCACGAAAGCGUGGGGAUCAAACAGGAUUAGAGACCCGAGUAGUC